Oreochromis aureus is the source of this 1974-nucleotide long non-coding RNA. RefSeq lists it as uncharacterized. The transcript has 3 exons. The record is from RefSeq and is a predicted model, not a curated record. Lineage: Eukaryota; Metazoa; Chordata; Actinopteri; Cichliformes; Cichlidae.
GUUCUACUGGUGUUACUGGUUCUGCUGGUGAGAAGAAUUGUUCACAGGAAACCUGAAGAUCAAGGUGAACCUGCAGAAGAAGACAUCACGUACAGUGACAUCAAAAUAUCACCUCAUCAUCAUAAGCCAACCAAAACAAUCAAAGAGAGUGAUCCAGCAGCAGUCUACUCUGCAGUAAGAACAGAAGAUGUCAGUUAUGGUCGAAUCAUCAUCAAAGAGAAGAAAACCAGAUCAAAGACAAGAGGUACAGCUGCUCUUCUUUGUCUCCGUCUGUGGUGUUUUGAUUCUGUGUGACCCAGUUAACAGGUAACAGCAGCAUUUUGAAAAACCUGACAAUCCAGAUUAUCCAGGACAGAUUUACUUAAAGUGCAUUUUAAAACAAGAAUUACAGAAGUGGCUACAGGAGCGACCAUCUCCUGGUGAGAAAAUUCAGAAUUCAAUUUACUAACAUUUUUCAUGUAGACAUAAUAAAACAAAACAAACAAAAUAAAUCUAAAACAAAUAAGAUUUAGAGAUAUUUUUAAAAUUGGUCUUGUGUUGUGGGUUGAUUCAAGGUACAUUAGAAAAAUAUUCCUUUUACCUAUGCAGAUUGUUUGUUAAAUAUAAAAAAUGUAGGCUACAAGAAAUUCCACAAAUAAGACCUAACAACAAUAAGACCUCAUUUGAUAAGACUGACCAUUAUCAAAACUAAUAAGUGUGGCCAAGCUUGUCCUUAACUAAUAAUAUAGACUCAGCCAAAAGUACACCUUACAUCCGUAACAUUGUCAAGUGUGUUGCAACUUUUUGGUAGUCCCAAAUUCAGCUCUGAUUAAGCUAAAGUGUGUCUUUUGUCUUAUCUUCCUCCACUCACCUCCAACUAGAGUUUUUCCUUCUCACUGUCACCAAGUGGGGGAUCAUUUGAUUGUUGGAAUUUUCUAUGAAUUCCUGUAGGAUCUUUACCUUUCAAUAUAAAUUGACUUGUGGGGACUGCUCUGAUUUGGUUCUAUUUGUAUAAAAUUGAAUUCAAUAGAAUAGAAUAGAAUUGCUAUCUGGGUUUCAUACAGACAAGUUAUUAGCAAUGUGAAUAUCAAUACAUAUGAGUAUGAAGUGUAUAAAUAGACAAAUGUAUUACAAUGAAUCUUUUUAACUGCUCAAAAAGUUCUGUGAGUAAAACCGCAGCAGCUACGUCCUGUAAUCAGAAGCUGAUGGUACUUCCUACCACACUGUUCUGGUUUGGCCAAUUGCAGUGUUGUUGUGAGAACAUAUUUCCUUUGUUCUCUGUGGUGAAGUUUCAGUUUGCAGUAAAAGAGGUGGCAGCUCUGUGGUUGGGCACCUUCCCUGUUCACAUAAGCACCUACCAGUUACAUGUAGUCACUUUUUGUUCUCAGCAGAGGUGUUAAGAAAUGGAAAAAAAAAAGGCUGUGAAAAGCUACAGCUACUUACAAAAGUCAAACUUAAAAAUGUAUUUUUAACUGUCUAAUUGUAGCGUCCCUAUGCUCUAUAAUGUGUCCAAAACUUGGUACCCAAGUUUGGACCAAAGUAGUUGGGGUGUUGGGUUUGAUGUAAAGUACUAACAAUGUUUUAUUGUUUGGAAUAAUCUGAUAGCAACUUUAAUUAUAAGCACACUUACUUAAAAAAUAAGCUAUUACCACUUGGGUUCACUUACACUCUUACACUUGCUCAAAAUGUUGCAAUGCUCUUUGUUGCCCCUUGCAGCAUGCCAUGAAAUGCCUUUUCAUCCAUUAAGUAGUGACAGAGAAAGUUAAACUUGAUUUAGACUUCGUUGGGAAAUCUACAUCAUGACUUUGCAUAAAAAGUUCCCCUCUCGCCCUGUGGGCAGUCUUUAUCCUUCAAACUCGGGUCCUCUACCAGAGGGCUGGGAACUUGAGGGUCCUGUGCAGUAUGUUUGCUGUUUCUAGGACUGAGCUAUUCUGGACACAAGAUUCGAGUAUUGUUCCUGAGAUCUGCUAGAGCCACUCUCCCAGCUUGCUGGUC